GACGAACGCUGGCGGCGUGCUUAACACAUGCAAGUCGAACGGUAAGGCCCUUCGGGGUACACGAGUGGCGAACGGGUGAGUAACACGUGCGUGAUCUGCCCUGCACUUCGGGAUAAGCCUGGGAAACUGGGUCUAAUACCGGAUAGGACCACUGCCUGCAUGGCGGGUGGUGGAAAGCUUUUGCGGUGUGGGAGGGGCCCGCGGCCUAUCAGCUUGUUGGUGGGGUGAUGGCCUACCAAGGCGACGACGGGUAGCCGGCCUGAGAGGGUGACCGGCCACACUGGGACUGAGGUACGGCCCAGACUCCUACGGGAGGCAGCAGUGGGGAAUAUUGCACAAUGGGCGCAAGCCUGAUGCAGCGACGCCGCGUGAGGGAUGACGGCCUUCGGGUUGUAAACCUCUUUCAGCACCGACGAAGCGCAAGUGACGGUAGGUGCAGAAGAAGGACCGGCCAACUACGUGCCAGCCGCCGCCGUAA
RNAcentral lists this ribosomal RNA (478 nucleotides) under uncultured bacterium. Its description in RNAcentral is "partial 16S ribosomal RNA". It matches the Rfam family "Bacterial small subunit ribosomal RNA", at positions 28 to 523 of the family's 1533-position model. The record is from RNAcentral.